AGGAAACCGCGAGUGAAUUUUCUCACUGUGGUGGAUUAGAAGAUAGCAUUCCCUGGGCCCAGAGCAUCACACCCAGUCGUUCUCCCAUUUCUACCAUCACUGACGUUGGAAGCCCUAUGUCAGCUAAUAAACCAAACCCAAGAGAUAAUCAAGCGAAAGGAGCUUCAAGUGGUGAGCAGUCUGACGAGGAUGACGAAACAGGUUUGAACAGAUCAUGGGUUACACUGAUGAUAAGCGGGACAGAAGG
Prosopis cineraria is the source of this 247-nucleotide long non-coding RNA. RefSeq lists it as uncharacterized. Lineage: Eukaryota; Viridiplantae; Streptophyta; Magnoliopsida; Fabales; Fabaceae. The record is from RefSeq and is a predicted model, not a curated record. The transcript has 2 exons.